GAAGCGGGAAGAGCUCAAAUUUGAAAUCUGGCAGUCUUCGAUUGUCCGAGUUGUAAUCUAUAGAGGCGUUUUCCGUGCCGGACCGUGUCCAAGUCUCCUGGAAAGGAGUAUCAAAGAGGGUGAUAAUCCCGUACUUAACACGACCACCGGUGCUCUGUGAUACGUCUUCUACGAGUCGAGUUGUUUGGGAAUGCAGCUCAAAAUGGGUGGUGAAUUCCAUCUAAAGCUAAAUAUUGGCGAGAGACCGAUAGCGAACAAGUACCGUGAGGGAAAGAUGAAAAGCACUUUGGAAAGAGAGUUAAACAGUACGUGAAAUUGUUGAAAGGGAAACGAUUGAAGUCAGUCGUGUUCUUUGGAUUCAGCCAGUUCUGCUGGUCUACUUCCUUGGAACGGGUCAACAUCAGUUUUGUCCGGUGGAUAAAGGUAGUAGGAAUGUGACUUCUCCGGAAGUGUUAUAGCCUAUUAUCACAUACACUGGGUGAGACUGAGGACUGCAGCUCGCCUUUAUGGCCGGGC
Molecule: ribosomal RNA, 516 nt
Filed under: Trichosporon asahii
Lineage: Eukaryota; Fungi; Basidiomycota; Tremellomycetes; Trichosporonales; Trichosporonaceae
Description: eukaryotic LSU rRNA
Rfam family: Eukaryotic large subunit ribosomal RNA
Source: RNAcentral